UCUCAGAUCGUCCAGUGGUCAAGAUUUCCGCCUGUCACGCGGGAGACCGGGGUUCGAUUCCCCGUCUGAGAG
Molecule: transfer RNA, 72 nt
Organism: Dactylellina haptotyla CBS 200.50
Lineage: Eukaryota; Fungi; Ascomycota; Orbiliomycetes; Orbiliales; Orbiliaceae
Rfam family: tRNA
About the family: Transfer RNA (tRNA) molecules are approximately 80 nucleotides in length. Their secondary structure includes four short double-helical elements and three loops (D, anti-codon, and T loops). Further hydrogen bonds mediate the characteristic L-shaped molecular structure. tRNAs have two regions of fundamental functional importance: the anti-codon, which is responsible for specific mRNA codon recognition, and the 3' end, to which the tRNAs corresponding amino acid is attached (by aminoacyl-tRNA synthetases). tRNAs cope with the degeneracy of the genetic code in two manners: having more than one tRNA (with a specific anti-codon) for a particular amino acid; and 'wobble' base-pairing, i.e. permitting non-standard base-pairing at the 3rd anti-codon position.
Source: Rfam